GUACUACUUUCUCUUUUCCCUUUAUCUUUUCUCUCUGUAUUCUCUUCUCUCGCAAACCCUAAAUCAUGGUGCCGUGAAAAUCCAACCUGAAACAGACAUGGCUCUUCGUCUUCCCCCUUUCUCUCUCUGUUCCUCCUUCAAACUACUAAAUACUCACUACUAAACCCUAGCGCACCCCAUCAUCUUUUUCCUCCGUCAAACCCACAAAUCAAUCGUGAAUGAAAGGGGGAAGAAAGUUUUUGGAUAUUUAGCUCGACUUGGAAAUGAUACAGAUGAUUUUCAAUUGGAGGCAAGAGUAUUCAAAAUUACAUUUUCUCAAAACAGAAAGCUUGUCCAGCCGUACCAAACUUGGUUUGCACAAUCCCUUUAAGGCACCAUAGAGGUACAAUGUCACUGCAGUCACAGUCAGUAUGACUGCAGGAUCCUGCACUCAAGUGCAAUAAAGUUAAAAUGGUUUAGAGGGAGAUGCAAUUUAAAAGAUGUAAUGACAAACAUAUCCUUCAAAUUGCACUACAAAAUCAUUGACUGCAUGAAACUGUGUUGGUUUUAACUGCAGAGGAUUAAAACCCCUGUUUUUGAUGCAUUAUUUCCUCUACUCUCAAAAAGCAUGCUAUAUGUCAACUCAAAAUGUAAUCGAUAGGCAUAAUAAAAAAAUAUUAAUUCUGCACAGAAGUGACAAGAUAUCUCACUGGUAUCAAUGAAAAUCAAUAGGUUUUGAUGUAGACAAAAAGCAGCUUUAUGUGUGGAAGCAAGCAACUCUCCUGUGAUAAAUGUAGAACCUGCUUUAGGCGCUUCAGUCAGAUUAAAAAGAUAUUGCUGCAUUUUAACUGGGCUGAAUUAGUUUGUAUAUUCGGAUCUGAAAGUAAACAGACUAAAGGGUCUAAUUAGUUUGGUUUUUUUUCUUGCUGGUGUAUGUGUAUCCUAAUAACUUGAUUUGGUUUAUUCUUUAUGUAUUUCUUAAUAAAAUAAAAUUUAACUCAUCUAAUUGUGUCAGUAGUACUUUAUUAUUAUUAUUAUUGUGUCCAACUAAUCCCAAGUACAUGGUUAAUAGUCAAUUAUUUUUGAACUAAAUACACAACCAAGUCUAAGGCUCGGUACGCCUUUUUGGCAGAAACCUGUACAGACUGAGCACAAUUCUAGCAGAAAAAAGCAUGACUAUUGUUACUGUGUCUCCAAGCUACCUAUAUUUGAUAUGUUAACUCCUAUUUUCUCCAUCCUAAUGGCAUGGGCUGCGUGUUUUGGUGACUAAAAAGGGUGCAGCAAGAGCCAAAUUCUAAAUCAACCAAAUCCAUGCAAUAUCAAUUGUAAGAAUAUUGUUUACAAUUUAAAGAAGAUAAAAACUACAAUUUUA
Long non-coding RNA from Vicia villosa (hairy vetch), 1351 nucleotides. RefSeq lists it as uncharacterized. The record is from RefSeq and is a predicted model, not a curated record. NCBI's taxonomy places the organism in Eukaryota, Viridiplantae, Streptophyta, Magnoliopsida, Fabales, Fabaceae. The transcript has 4 exons.